UCUCCGUUGGUGAACCAGCGGAGGGAUCAUUACCGAGUUUACAACUCCCAAACCCCUGUGAACAUACCAUUUGUUGCCUCGGCGGUGCCUGCUUCGGCAGCCCGCCAGAGGACCCAAACCCUUGAUUUUAUACAGUGUCUUCUGAGUAAGUGAUUAAAUAAAUCAAAACUUUCAACAACGGAUCUCUUGGUUCUG
RNAcentral lists this unclassified non-coding RNA (195 nucleotides) under plant metagenome. Its description in RNAcentral is "partial contains small subunit ribosomal RNA, internal transcribed spacer 1, and 5.8S ribosomal RNA". The record is from RNAcentral.